RNAcentral lists this long non-coding RNA (381 nucleotides) under Manihot esculenta (cassava). Its description in RNAcentral is "long non-coding RNA (MESC_LNC008301)". The record is from RNAcentral. Lineage: Eukaryota; Viridiplantae; Streptophyta; Magnoliopsida; Malpighiales; Euphorbiaceae.
CCCAUUGCGUAACCCUGAAAUUUGGGUAUUUUGACCACCGACUAGGUUAGGUAAAUAAUGUAAAGAGCAUUUAAAUCUGAAAUAAAUGAAGAAUGAAAGUGGUUCAACAGGCAACUCUGAAAAUGCAAUGGUCCUAGAGCAUUUGCUUUUCCUUAUUUUUGGGCAAUGACCAUCAUCCUUGAUUUCCCUCUCCAUAGACGGUACCAACUUAUUUUGACCUUUUUUAUGUGGGGCGACUGCUUUUUCGAACUGGAUGGAGUUUGGUGGCUCGCUUUCAGCCAUCUUUCUAUAAAUAUUUAUAUCUACAGUUUAUUCUGGGACCGCUCCCGCGACAUUUAAGAGUUUACGCUCCUGUUAAGUUCUACAGCGUUUUCUUCUUGC